This 1768-nucleotide long non-coding RNA is filed under the name Medicago truncatula (barrel medic). RNAcentral's name for it is "long non-coding RNA (MTRU_LNC004930)". Lineage: Eukaryota; Viridiplantae; Streptophyta; Magnoliopsida; Fabales; Fabaceae. The record is from RNAcentral.
AAAAUUAACUUUUUCAAAAAAGUCAGUUUCAUAACUGCACCGUAGAAGCUCCCUACUUUUUAAUGUUUCAAUGUGUUGAAUACACAAAUUCCAAAACAAAAUUUCCAUUUUAAACUUCUUAUCAAGUGAGCACUUGUUAACAUUUCUAAAAAAAUACAGGUUUUAUAACCAAAAAUAAAAAUCACAGAUCUACCUCUCUACAUUUCCUCUUCAAGCUGUUCCAUAUCUCCAUCUUCUUCUCCCCUGUUUCCAUUUUCUGCUUUCUUCUUCUCCCUUAAAUCAUUCAUACAACCUAAAAUUGCUUCGUUUAUACCUUUUUUAUGUCACGAUUUGAAAUUUGAAAUCUGGAAAAGGGCAAACCGCAACAUCUUUUCAUGCUUCAUCUUUCCAUGUUAAAUGUAGCAUUCGUAGAAUCAGUUCAUUAUGUAUAAUUUCUAUCUAUUCUUGUACCAUUUAUAUAUAGCUAGAAAUUAUAUAAUGGAUAGAUACAGAAUAGAUAGAUUAGAUCAAUUGAAUUAUCAUGAAUAUACCCUAUUUAUACAUAUAUAUUUAUACAUAUAAAUCCAUAACUAAAUUUUAACUAACUAUUAACAAACUUACAUCUGCAAAUAUAUUAAUUCACUUGUUUUGAAGGCUAGCUAGCUAGGCUCAUAAACAUGUUGAAGUGAAACCUACUCCUUUUACAAGAAAAACGUGUGUUUUGAAUUUUGAUUUCUCUAUUAUACUUAAGCAUACAUGAAGAAAAAUCUUCCCUCCUUGUCGCACUAAAUAAUAAUAACAAUAAUAAUAAUAAUAAUAAUAAUAAUAAUAAUAAAUCUUCCUAAGUUUAACUUAAUUGAUGAGAAAAAUGCAUAAUAUAUGCAACGUCUAGAGUUCGGAAAAAAAAAAAAAAAAAAAAAAAAAAAAAAAAAAAAACUAAAUAAUAAGAACGUUUAUUCCCCCAAAUAUAUAAUGUAAAUAUUCCAUUGUUUAUGACUUUUAUUUAAUUUUGGAUUUAAAAUAUCUUAAAAUCCUAUAUAAUUAACUAUAAUAAAAUUGUAUCUAAUGGAGAAUGUAGGCCGCUCACGGCGGGGUGUGCAUGGGUUGGGUCAACCCAAAAAAAACCGGUCAAAUCCACCAAAAAAAACUAAAAAAAUGGGUUGGGUCGGGUAAUAGGGUGGGUAUGGUUUCAAAAAAUGAAAAAUCUAUAAAAAUAAAUGGGUUUCGGGUAAAACCAGACUCAUAUCCAAAAAAUUCACGUACUCAUUAUCCAAUCCAACCCAUAAAUUAGCAGGUUUGCCCAAUCCGAUCCAAUGGUAUAACAGGUGAUUAUUUUACCUCACUCAAACCGGAGUACCCUAUAUGGUUCGAGUUUUGGGUUUGGUCAAACACAACUCAAACCGAACCUACGUACACCCCUAGCUCACGCCUUCUCUAUUAGAUUCAAAAUUGUUUAUGACUUUUAUUUAAUUUUGGAUUUAAAAUAUUCUGUUGAUUUUCGAGUUCAAUUCUGGUUUAAGAUCACCAUUUUUAGUACUUUUCAAAUUUUUGUGAUAAACAAAUUAAAAUUGGUGAUGGUUCCUUUUUACAGACCAUCCAGUUGCGAUAUUAUGGUGUUUUUAUUUUGGUCAAGUAGCUUAGCGGCUAGAAAAAUUUACUUUAAAGAUGAAUAAGUGAGGUGUUCGGGGUUCAAACCCUGUUUCCUACAUAUAAUAUGCAUUUUUCCUCACCAGCUAAUGUAAACUUAUGGAAACUAUUAUGGUGCUUUUAACUUUAAAUGUGUUUUUAC